RNAcentral lists this transfer RNA (75 nucleotides) under Lachnospiraceae bacterium. RNAcentral's name for it is "tRNA-Pro". It matches the Rfam family "tRNA". From Rfam's summary of the family: Transfer RNA (tRNA) molecules are approximately 80 nucleotides in length. Lineage: Bacteria; Bacillati; Bacillota; Clostridia; Lachnospirales; Lachnospiraceae. RNAcentral also lists the same sequence under 1 other name. The record is from RNAcentral.
CGGGGUGUGGCUCAGUUUGGCUAGAGCGCGUGGUUUGGGACCACGAGGCCGCAGGUUCGAAUCCUGUCACCCCGA